GCCUCCCGCCGGAACGGCGUCACUGCGGCCCAGCGCGUCACACGUCACUUCCAGGGAGCGCCGCCCGCGGGGGCGGACCGGAAGAGCGCCCCACAGCCCGGCCCGCCCUUCCCUGCGGCCCGACGGCUCCCUCCGCCACACAGGCCGCAGCCGGAUCUACCUCGGCCUGCUCUCCGCCCGCGCGCCUUCUGCCCAUGCGUGGUCGUGACGUGGCCGGCCCCUCCCUCCGGGCCCCGCCGGCCUCUGUGACGGAAGCAGCAGAACCCUGCUUCGGCUCCCUGCUUGUGGCCUGGGAAAGGUCUCGGGACCCUGUACCCUUGUGGGAGACCUGGAGGAAGCUCUGACUCCUGACUUCGGAUCAGCUCAGCCUUGGCUGAUGCGGCCACUUGGAAAAGAAACAGAAAUGUUGGCUUUCCAGACCCAAGCCAGAGCUAUUGACACUCUGGGAGUAGGGGACAGCUCUCUGUGCUUGAACAGACUGGACAGUGAGUGAUCUUGAUGCACAUCAAGGUUGGAGAGCCAGUGUCCUAAGU
Long non-coding RNA from Ochotona princeps (American pika), 533 nucleotides. RefSeq lists it as uncharacterized. The transcript has 3 exons. The record is from RefSeq and is a predicted model, not a curated record. NCBI's taxonomy places the organism in Eukaryota, Metazoa, Chordata, Mammalia, Lagomorpha, Ochotonidae.